RNAcentral lists this ribosomal RNA (502 nucleotides) under uncultured bacterium. Its description in RNAcentral is "bacterial SSU rRNA". It matches the Rfam family "Bacterial small subunit ribosomal RNA", at positions 19 to 518 of the family's 1533-position model. The record is from RNAcentral.
AUGGCUCAGGAUGAACGCUGGCGGCGUGCCUAAUACAUGCAAGUGAAACGGGUAUCUUCGGAUACCAGUCGCGGACGGGUGAGUAAUACAUAGGCAACCUGCCUUUAUGAGGGGGAUAACCGAGGGAAACUUUGGCUAAUACCGCAUGAAGACUCUAAGGCAUCUUAGAGGGAUAAAAGUUGGGAAACAACGCAUGAAGAUGGGCUUAUGGCGCAUUAGCUAGUUGGUGAGAUAGAAGCCCACCAAGGUAAUGAUGCGUAGCCGACCUGAGAGGGUGAACGGCCACAUUGGGACUGAGACACGGCCCAAACUCCUACGGGAGGCAGCAGUAGGGAAUUUUCGGCAAUGGGGGGAACCCUGACCGAGCAACGCCGCGUGAAGGAAAAGAAGGUUUUCGGAUUGUAAACUUCUGUUAUAAGGGAAGAACGGAUUGGAUAGGGAAUGAUCUGAUAGUGACGGUACCUUAUUAGAAAGCCACGGCUAACUACGUGCCAGCAGCAGC